This 283-nucleotide unclassified non-coding RNA is filed under the name Basidiomycota sp. Its description in RNAcentral is "partial contains small subunit ribosomal RNA, internal transcribed spacer 1, and 5.8S ribosomal RNA". The stretch from base 1 to 47 matches the Rfam family "Eukaryotic small subunit ribosomal RNA", at positions 1785 to 1831 of the family's 1831-position model. The record is from RNAcentral. Lineage: Eukaryota; Fungi; Basidiomycota.
AAAGUCGUAACAAGGUUUCCGUAGGUGAACCUGCGGAAGGAUCAUUAACAAAUUCCAAAUCUACUACUCGUGUUUGGUGAAAGAGGAGUGCGUGCGCCCGCAUGGUAGGGGAGGAGGAGUCUUUCUCCUUUUCUGCUUGCGCGCUGGACUCCUUUUUUGUCAGUUAUAUAAGACACAAAAACACAUUUACAUUUACCAUGGACACUCAAUGGAGAACCACUUUUUAAAUGUUUUUUACAACAAAACAAGCAAACAACUUUUAACAAUGGAUCUCUUGGCUCUU